AGUGCUUCAAGCUCCAGGCUUUUCUCUGACUCUGUUUGCUUUCUUUCUCUCCUUUCCGGUUCCCCUUUAACUGGCUCCUGCUUCCAGUGAGCAGAGCCGGAGGGAGGCCCUGGCAGGGGCUGUGACGCCACCGAGGGACCAGAAGGACGAUUUGGGAGCAUUUGAGGGGCAAGGGACCCUGAGGCCAGCCAUGCCCAGGCCUCAGGCCUCCAGGGUUCCAUUCAGCCAGCAAGCUCCAGCUUUCCUUUGCCUGAAGUCGAUAUCGUCACCGGUAGACCUGUGUGUGACUCUACGGGGAAAGGACCUUGCUGCCCCUCCACGUUCUGCCUCUAGCAAACCCAGGAAAGGGAAAUCAAGGUGAAAUCUAAGGAAGGGGGGCGCCCAGGGCAUCACUGUGGCUGGGUUUAACUCGAAUCCUCUGCCUUCAUUGGAACCCACCGUUUAGCACAACAAGGGUUACGUACGUAAGUGGACCCUGGUCGUAUGAAAAGUUCCAUCUGCUAAA
This is a long non-coding RNA of Neofelis nebulosa (Clouded leopard), 505 nucleotides long. RefSeq lists it as uncharacterized. The transcript has 3 exons. The record is from RefSeq and is a predicted model, not a curated record. NCBI's taxonomy places the organism in Eukaryota, Metazoa, Chordata, Mammalia, Carnivora, Felidae.